This 446-nucleotide ribosomal RNA is filed under the name uncultured bacterium. RNAcentral's name for it is "partial 16S ribosomal RNA". It matches the Rfam family "Bacterial small subunit ribosomal RNA", at positions 338 to 795 of the family's 1533-position model. The record is from RNAcentral.
CCUACGGGAGGCAGCAGUCGAGAAUCAUUCACAAUGGGGGAAACCCUGAUGGUGCGACGCCGCGUGGGGGAAUGAAGGUCUUCGGAUUGUAAACCCCUGUCAUGUGGGAGCAAAUUAAAAAGAUAGUACCACAAGAGGAAGAGACGGCUAACUCUGUGCCAGCAGCCGCGGUAAUACAGAGGUCUCAAGCGUUGUUCGGAAUCACUGGGCGUAAAGCGUGCGUAGGCUGUUUCGUAAGUCGGGUGGGAAAGGGGCGGGCUCAACCCGCGGACGGCACAUGAUACUGCGAGACUAGAGUAAUGGAGGGGGAACCGGAAUUCUCGGUGUAGCAGUGAAAUGCGUAGAUAUCGAGAGGAACACUCGUGGCGAAGGCGGGUUCCUGGACAUUAACUGACGCUGAGGCACGAAGGCCAGGGGAGCGAAAGGGAUUAGAUACCCCAGUAGUC